UCAGUUCUACUAUUAUUUAUUUUUUUAAAUAUUUUUGAAAAAAUAUAAUUUUUUUACAAUAUUUUCAACUUAAACACUAUUCACACUGAACACGUAUGGCAGCUUAACCUACCCAAGUAUGAAGUUUAAGAAGCCAAAACUGUUCUAGCUUUGUUAAAAGAAAAGUUGUGCUGCAGACCAUUGUAGUGAUGAUUAACAAAGCAAGGAAAAGCACCACUCAAAUCAUGUUACAAUUUCUUUGUUCAAUUGGAUUAUGGUGGGUCAAAUGUUGCACUUCACAUAGGCAUGGCUAUGAUGCAGUGACACCUGAGAAGAUGCAAUACUUCCUCAGAUCUAACACUAGGAGGAUUCACAUUUCUUACGUGGUAACAUACCAUAAAAGCCAGGGUUAGUUUUCAUCAUGAGCAUUACCUUAUAACCUCAGUAACCAAAGACUUACUUGUCUAUAAUGAAUUGUUUCAAAUUAAUUAACAAGGCCUUCUUCAGAAAAAGGAAAUUCUUCUUGAUAGUGACAAAUGCAAAUUUAGUAAGUCUGAACUGAGAAAUUUGCCUAACAACUUGAACUUAAAUUUACUCGUUAAAAAAAAAAAAAAAAGUUUGGACAUUAACAACGGUUAGCUAACGUUCAGGGACCAGUUUAGCCUCAAAAAAGGCAAUUCACGAAGAUUUAGAGGUCAUUUUAAUUUGGCGCUUUGUUACAUCUUGACUGGUGCUUCUUUCCUCGCUGUCUUCACAUCAAGCCAUGGGGCCAAUUCUAUUUUCAGUAAAUGUUUGACAGCUUAUUACUUAAUAACAGUCUCAGCACUUUUAUUAAGCAUGCAAGACUAACAAAACUUUGGCAAUGCAUAAGUGUAACACAGUGACAAGAGAGAGCUUUUACAAUUAAGUCUUCUAAUACUGCCUUCACAGUGUGGAAAUUGUGCUACAUCCACCAAAAGAGGGCCCCGUCUACUCAAAUAUUUUAGUACUUCACCCCAGGAACAAACUCCUUUGCAUUUGGAUUCAGAUUGCUCUUGACCUGGAAAAUAAGUACAUAAAAAAUCAAGUUCAUUAACAGAUGGCUUCAGAUACUCAAAAGCAUUCAACCCAGAUCCACAUGCAAAAAUAUCUUCCAAAAAACGUAAGACAAAAGAACUCAAAUUGUAUGGUUAAACUUAACCCAAAAAAUCUUACCUAUAGAAGGGAAAGAAGGAACCAGAAGUAAACUAUAUAUAUUAUGUAUGCGUAUAUAUAUAUAUAUAUGUAUAUACGCAUACAUAAUAUAUGAAAACUUAUAGCCUUCUAAAGAGAAAGUAAAAAUUGAAAUUAAAUUUGCUUAAGUGUAAUCAGAAACCCACUAUCUACACACAAACUAAAAAGGUGUCACUGAAUAAGGAAUUCUGUUCAUUUAACUAUAAUAUUUGAUUUUAACAGUUUCAUACUAUGCAAAAAUAUUAAACAAGUAUUGAAAUGAUGAUUAAAGUGGAUUGGGGAAUUGUUUAUGGAUUAAUUUUGCUUAUGAUCCUCAUUGAAAAUAUAGAGUUGUCUUUCUAAAACUGCUGUAUUCUAAUUACUACAGGAAGCAAGGUUUGUAAAAGGAAAAGAAAACUACAUGGGGAAUGAGAAGACCCUAAGAUGGAAUUCCAGCUCUGCUCUAAACUAACUUCCUAAGAAAGCCUGGAUAAGUCACUCUCUUUGGAACCCUAUUUCUGCAUCAGUUAGAGGAAGAAUGGGCCAAAGUCUUUAAGAGCCAGUAUUCUAGAUCUCUAAAUCUUGACUUUCCUAAGCAGACACGUCAGACAUUCCACAAUAGGUGGAAAUCUGCCUCCACCAUAGUUGAUAAAGAUGAAAAGAAAUCAAGAUGUAUUACAGGGCCUGAAAUGUCAGAAUACUGGUAGGCUUUUAGAUUGAAUAUGAUCCCCCUAUGCCACUUACUUCAUGACCAAAGUAUAUUAAAUAACACCUUGAAGCAACAAUUUAAUAUUAAUUUUAUAAUUUAUACACAGCCAUUUCCUUGGACAGGACAUACUCUCACUUCUCUCAAAGGAAAUCUAUCUAAACUUUAAAAGUGUGAAGUUUAAAUUAAAAAAAGCAUUGUUCUUGAAUGUGCAAUCUUUUGGCAGCUACAAAAGAAUGAUAAGGAAUUAACAUAAUCUCAAAUAGACCAAGAAGAACAAGCCAGUUUCUAGACAAUGAAAUUGUAUUGGGUCCAGAUUAAAGUUAUACAUUAUGACCAGCAAAGGACUUCACUCAUCAGAGCAACCAGGAUUAUUUGUGGAAUGACUAAUGUAGUCAUAAGCAAGCAUAUCACAACAGACUAUUGAGAUCACACAUCUGCUCAACUGGGUUGUCAUUUACUGCAACAAAUCUGUACUACAAUGUAAAUUUCAGUGUUCUCCAUACAGCCCUUUAGAAGAAUGGUUCCCAAAUGCCUGAUGGGGCAGGCUGGCAGUAUGCCCUAGGAGUGCUUUUUAUGCCUAGACAACUGGUUUGCAAGUCUGGGAUCUAGCUAAGGGACUUAUUUUUGGUUUUAAUCCUUCACAGGUAAUUAUGAUAUAUCGCCAGGUUAGGAAAUCAAUGCACAGUGAACAAAAAAUAACUGCAAAAAAUAUUUGUGAGUCUAGGAGUAAAUCCCAGAGAACUAUAUUGUAAAAGCAAGUAGAGACUGUCAAUAUGGACAGAAAGGUCACCAUUAUGACUUUAGAUCAUUUUAUCUUAAUUUUGGCAAACGAUUCAUCACAUUCUAUUCUAGCACUGAUGCCUAUUUAUCUUAAUUCCUGAAAAAAUUUACUGCAAAUGUACCUACCGUCCCCAGCAAUGAGACAUAGAGAGUAGGUAAAAAUGUAAAUAGGUUUUUGUUCCUUUUCUGCCAAGAGCUUGUAAAAGUCCAUAUUAAAUCCCAGUUCCAAAUGGAGUUAGGGUAACUCAAUGAAAAUCUUGGGGCAGGAAAAAAAAAAAAUCUCCAAAUUUUCACCUUUCAGAUAAAAAUGUGCAAAUUUCGACAAAUGUUUAAGAAAAAAUUAAUGAGCAAAACUUCUUCAUCAAGCUACUUUUGUAUAGGCAAGUCACAUGUACAUACCAAUAUCCUAGGGUAAUAUAGUUAUCAAAACUAAAAGUAGUGGCAAGAAGUCUGUUAGCAGCCUCAGACUAGCUCCAGAGUGUUGCCAGAAGUCACUCUAAGUCAUAAGUGAGACUGAGAGGCCCCUGCUUCCAUAGAAAGAAGCAGUACAAUUUCUGAAGGGGAAGAAAUGUAGAACUCUUGUUAAACAGAUACUGCUGGCUUUUCCACUUAAGGGAAAGAUGAGCUAGUUUUUUAAAAAGAUGAAAAAUAACUUUUUACCACAAGAUCUUCCAGAGAAGAGCCAUCACUGAUAACAAGGUCAUUAAAUUGGUCUUGGAUUUGGUCC
Molecule: long non-coding RNA, 3386 nt
Filed under: Lynx pardinus (Iberian lynx)
Lineage: Eukaryota; Metazoa; Chordata; Mammalia; Carnivora; Felidae
Source: RNAcentral